UACGUAGGUGGCGAGCGUUGUCCGGAAUUACUGGGCGUAAAGGGUGCGUAGGCGGUUUAUUAAGUCAGAUGUGAAAUUCCGGGGCUCAACUUCGGAAUUGCAUUUGAAACUGGUAGGCUAGAGUGCAGGAGAGGAAAGCGGAAUUCCUAGUGUAGCGGUGAAAUGCGUAGAUAUUAGGAAGAACACCAGUGGCGAAGGCGGCUUUCUGGACUGUAACUGACGCUGAGGCACGAAAGCGUGGGGAG
RNAcentral lists this ribosomal RNA (245 nucleotides) under uncultured Oxobacter sp. RNAcentral describes it as "partial 16S ribosomal RNA". It matches the Rfam family "Bacterial small subunit ribosomal RNA", at positions 524 to 768 of the family's 1533-position model. The record is from RNAcentral. Lineage: Bacteria; Bacillati; Bacillota; Clostridia; Eubacteriales; Clostridiaceae.